RNAcentral lists this ribosomal RNA (468 nucleotides) under uncultured bacterium. RNAcentral's name for it is "partial 16S ribosomal RNA". It matches the Rfam family "Bacterial small subunit ribosomal RNA", at positions 28 to 507 of the family's 1533-position model. The record is from RNAcentral.
GACGAACGCUGGCGGCGUGCUUAACACAUGCAAGUCGAACGGAAAGGCCCUGCUUUUGUGGGGUGCUCGAGUGGCGAACGGGUGAGUAACACGUGAGUAACCUGCCCUUGACUUUGGGAUAACUUCAGGAAACUGGGGCUAAUACCGGAUAGGAGCUCCUGCUGCAUGGUGUGGGUUGGAAAGUUUCGGCGGUUGGGGAUGGACUCGCGGCUUAUCAGCUUGUUGGUGGGGUAGUGGCUUACCAAGGCUUUGACGGGUAGCCGGCCUGAGAGGGUGACCGGGCAAAAUGGGAACGGGGAUACGGCCCAGACUCCAAGGGGAGGAAGAAGGGGGGAAUAUGGAACAAGGGGCGGAGGCUGGAGGAAGAAACGCCGGGGGCGGAUGACGGCCUUCGGGUUGUAAACCGCUUUCGCCUGUGACGAAGCGUGAGUGACGGUAAUGGGUAAAGAAGCACCGGCUAACUACGUG